GAUGAAGAACGCAGCGAAAUGCGAUACGUAAUGUGAAUUGCAGAAUUCAGUGAAUCAUCGAAUCUUUGAACGCACAUUGCGCUCUCUGGUAUUCCGGAGAGCAUGCUUGUUUGAGUAUCAGUAAACACCUCAACUCCUUUAUUGUAGUUGGACUUGAGCUAUCCCAACAGGACUUUUUGUUCCUGGCGGGAGGCUUGAAAUGCAGGUGCAGCUGGACUUUCUUCUGAGCUAUAAGCAUAUUUAUUUAAUCCCUUAACACGGAUUAUUACUUUUUUGCUGCAGCUAACCUAAAGGUUGAAUUUCCAUUGAGCUGACUGAUGCAGGAAUUUGGCAAGGAAUUUUUUUAAUGACUUGUUAAACUCGAUCUCAAAUCAAGUAAGACUACCCGCUGAACUUAAGCAUAUCAAUAAGCGGAGGA
Molecule: unclassified non-coding RNA, 418 nt
Filed under: soil metagenome
Description: partial contains 5.8S ribosomal RNA, internal transcribed spacer 2, and large subunit ribosomal RNA
Rfam family: 5.8S ribosomal RNA (bases 1-120)
Source: RNAcentral